Molecule: microRNA precursor, 86 nt
Filed under: Zea mays
Lineage: Eukaryota; Viridiplantae; Streptophyta; Magnoliopsida; Poales; Poaceae
Description: mir-395 microRNA precursor family
Rfam family: mir-395 microRNA precursor family
About the family: mir-395 was identified in both Arabidopsis thaliana and Oryza sativa computationally and was later experimentally verified. mir-395 is thought to target mRNAs coding for ATP sulphurylases.
Source: Rfam by way of RNAcentral
GUGUCUUCAGGAGUUCUCUUCAAGCACUUCACGAGGCAUCACACUGAGAGCUUUUGUGAAGUGUUUGGGGGAACUCUUGGUGUCAC